RNAcentral lists this ribosomal RNA (436 nucleotides) under uncultured bacterium. Its description in RNAcentral is "bacterial SSU rRNA". It matches the Rfam family "Bacterial small subunit ribosomal RNA", at positions 355 to 786 of the family's 1533-position model. The record is from RNAcentral.
UGAGGAAUAUUGGUCAAUGGGCGUGAGCCUGAACCAGCCAAGCCGCGUGAGGGAGGAAGGCGCCAGGCGUCGUAAACCUCUUUUGCCGGGGAACAAAGGGCGCCACGUGUGUCGUUGUGAGUGUACCCGGAGAAAAAGCAUCGGCUAACUCCGUGCCAGCAGCCGCGGUAAUACGGAGGAUGCGAGCGUUAUCCGGAUUUAUUGGGUUUAAAGGGUGCGUAGGCGGACCGGAAAGUCAGCGGUAAAAGCCCGGGGCUCAACCCGCGCGCGCUGUAAGCAAUGCCGGCAGCUAGAGACGGCGAGAAGUACGCGGAAUGCGCGGUGUAGCGGUGAAAUGCUUAGAUAUUGCGCAGAACUCCGAUUGCGAAGGCAGCGUACUGGCGCCUGACUGACGCUGAGGCACGAAAAGCGUGGGGAUCGAACAGGAUUAGAUACC